CUCUCAUGCUCUUGCCUUGCUCUCAGCCUUGUAUUAAUCCUUGCUCUCUGCUACAGGAUAUUCAUUAUCUCACGAGUGACGUCAGUGCGCCCUGUCAUUCUGCUGCGGGGUGCGGCUGUAACACCUCCAAAACGAGGAGGACCUUGACCCAACUCAAGAUGAAACACAAAAACAUUCUCCAACAAAGUAAAAUAUUUAUAUCAAUAUACCAACGCAUAGAAUUGGCUGAGGAGCUGGUACUAUCCCUCAAAGGGUGACCUGUAUUAAAUGGGAUUCCAGGGGGCACCUCAUCAGACUCGGUCACAAACACAAGUGGCUUAGUCAAAUAUACCGGUGGUCAAGACAUAUUGAUGGAGCCUCCUGUAUCACCACAGUCUGUCGUAAUUGAUGAAGAUGAAGAGACCGCAUCUGCAGUGACAGAUAUUGACAGACCUAGACCCAUCGAGGUAUAUGAUGUCCCGCCACUCUUUUAAUUUAUGUCUUAAACAAGAUGCAUAUUGUCAUUGCAAUUUCAGAGUAUUGCUGGGAAUGUUAAUGAAGAUUAGAGUCAAUGCAGCUCCACCAUGAAUCUUGGCAGUUUGCCUGCCAAAGAGCUGUACAAGGUCUAUCGCCAGCAUAAAAUUAGGAAAUGUGACCUUGAAAUAGAAUUGCUGGAGCAUCAGCUGAAGGUGAGACACAUUUGUGAAUAUUUAAUCUGUUAUUUGUUGAACUGACUAUUAAGCAAUAAAGUCACUUUAUUUCAUUA
Molecule: long non-coding RNA, 745 nt
Organism: Oryzias latipes (Japanese medaka)
Lineage: Eukaryota; Metazoa; Chordata; Actinopteri; Beloniformes; Adrianichthyidae
Source: RefSeq, a predicted model, not a curated record